AGUGAACGCUGGCGGUAGGCCUAACACAUGCAAGUCGAACGGCAGCACAGUAAGAGCUUGCUCUUACGGGUGGCGAGUGGCGGACGGGUGAGGAAUACAUCGGAAUCUACUUUUUCGUGGGGGAUAACGUAGGGAAACUUACGCUAAUACCGCAUACGACCUACGGGUGAAAGCAGGGGAUCUUCGGACCUUGCGCGAUUGAAUGAGCCGAUGUCGGAUUAGCUAGUUGGCGGGGUAAAGGCCCACCAAGGCGACGAUCCGUAGCUGGUCUGAGAGGAUGAUCAGCCACACUGGAACUGAGACACGGUCCAGACUCCUACGGGAGGCAGCAGUGGGGAAUAUUGGACAAUGGGCGCAAGCCUGAUCCAGCCAUACUGCGUGGGUGAAGAAGGCCUUCGGGUUGUAAAGCCCUUUUGUUGGGAGAGAAAAGCAGCAGGUUAAUACCCCGCUGUUCUGACGGUACCCAAAGAAUAAGCACCGGCUAACUUCGUG
Molecule: ribosomal RNA, 492 nt
Filed under: uncultured bacterium
Lineage: Bacteria
Description: partial 16S ribosomal RNA
Rfam family: Bacterial small subunit ribosomal RNA
Source: RNAcentral